RNAcentral lists this ribosomal RNA (833 nucleotides) under uncultured archaeon. Its description in RNAcentral is "bacterial SSU rRNA". It matches the Rfam family "Archaeal small subunit ribosomal RNA", at positions 21 to 860 of the family's 1478-position model. The record is from RNAcentral.
ACCUGACUGCUAUCGGAUUGGUACUAAGCCAUGCGAGUCAUUGUAGCAAUACAAGGCGGACGGCUCAGUAACACGUAGUCAACCUAACUCGUGGACGUGGAUAACCUCGGGAAACUGAGAAUAAACCACGAUAGAUCAUAGUGCCUGGAAUGGCUUAUGGUCCAAACAGUUUACUGCCAUGGGAUGGGACUGCGGCCUAUCAGCUUGUUGGUGAGGUAAUGGCCCACCAAGGCGAUUACAGGUACGGGCUCUGAGAGGAGAAGCCCGGAGAUGGGUACUGAGACACGGACCCAGGCCCUAUGGGGCGCAGCAGGCGAGAAACCUUAGCAAUGUGCGAAAGCACGACUGGGUCAGUCCGAGUGAUUCCUGAUAAAGGAGUCUUUUGCCUGUCCUAAAAGCACAGGUGAAUAAGGGGUGGGCAAGUCUGGUGUCAGCCGCCGCGGUAAUACCAGCACCUCGAGUGGUCAGGACGUUUAUUGGGCCUAAAGCAUCCGUAGCCGGCUCUGCAAGUCUUCGGUUAAAUCCACCUGCUCAACAGAUGGGCCGCUGGAGAUACUACAGAGCUAGGGAGUGGGAGAGGCAGACGGUAUUCAGUGGGUAGGGGUAAAAUCCUCUGAUCCAUUGAGGACCACCAGUGGCGAAGGCGGUCUGCCAGAACACGUUCGACGGUGAGGGAUGAAAGCUGGGGGAGCAAACCGGAUUAGAUACCCGGGUAGUCCCAGCUGUAAACGAUGCAAACUCGGUGAUGCAUUGGCUUAUGGCCAAUGCAGUGCCGCAGGGAAGCCGUUAAGUUUGCCGCCUGGGAAGUACGGACGCAAGUUCUGAAACUUAAA